RNAcentral lists this ribosomal RNA (158 nucleotides) under Saccharomycotina sp. Y1028-SICYAM1. RNAcentral's name for it is "5.8S rRNA". It matches the Rfam family "5.8S ribosomal RNA". Rfam says of the family: 5.8S ribosomal RNA (5.8S rRNA) is a component of the large subunit of the eukaryotic ribosome. It is transcribed by RNA polymerase I as part of the 45S precursor that also contains 18S and 28S rRNA. The record is from RNAcentral. Lineage: Eukaryota; Fungi; Ascomycota.
AAACUUUUAGCAACGGAUCUCUAGGUUCUCGCAUCGAUGAAGAACGCAGCGAAAUGCGAUAAGUAGUGUGAAUUGCAGAAUUUUGUGAAUCAUCGAAUUUUUGAACGCACAUUGCACUCUCUGGUAUUCCAGAGAGUAUAUCUGUUUGAGCAUCAUUU